RNAcentral lists this ribosomal RNA (496 nucleotides) under uncultured bacterium. RNAcentral's name for it is "partial 16S ribosomal RNA". It matches the Rfam family "Bacterial small subunit ribosomal RNA", at positions 29 to 507 of the family's 1533-position model. The record is from RNAcentral.
AUGAACGCUGGCGGCGUGCCUAAUACAUGCAAGUCGAGCGAACAGACGAGGAGCUUGCUCCUCUGACGUUAGCGGCGGACGGGUGAGUAACACGUGGAUAACCUACCUAUAAGACUGGGAUAACUUUGGGAAACCGGAGCUAAUACCGGAGAAUAUAUUGAACCGCAUGGUUCAAUAGUGAAGGACGGUUUUGCUGUCACUUAUAGAUGGAUCCGCGCCGCAUUAGCUAGUUGGUAAGGUAACGGCUUACCAAGGCAACGAUGCGUAGCCGACCUGAGAGGGUGAUCGGCCACACUGGAACUGAGACACGGUCCAGACUCCUACGGGAGGCAGCAGUAGGGAAUCUUCCGCAAUGGGCGAAAGCUUGACGGAGCAACGCCGCGUGAGUGAUGAAGGUCUUCGGAUCGUAAAACUCUGUUAUUAGGGAAGAACAAAUGUGUAAGUAACUAUGCACGUCUUGACGGUACCUAAUCAGAAAGCCACGGCUAACUACGUG